CGGGAACUCUGACACAGGUGCUGCAUGGCUGUCGUCAGCUCGUGUCGUGAGAUGGUUGGGUUAACGUCCCGUAACGAGCGCAACCCUUGUCCUUAGUUACCAGCACGUUAUGGUGGGCACUCUAAGGAGACUGCCGGUGACAACCGGAGGAAGGUGGGGAUGACGUCAAGUCAUCAUGGCCCUUACGGCCUGGGCUACACACGUGCUACAAUGGUCGGUACAAAGGGUUGCCAAGCCGCGAGGUGGAGCUAAUCCCAUAAAACCGAUCGUAGUCCGGAUCGCAGUCUGCAACUCGACUGCGUGAAGUCGGAAUCGCUAGUAAUCGUGAAUCAGAAUGUCGCGGUGAAUACGUUCCCGGGCCUU
This 363-nucleotide ribosomal RNA is filed under the name uncultured Pseudomonas sp. RNAcentral's name for it is "bacterial SSU rRNA". It matches the Rfam family "Bacterial small subunit ribosomal RNA", at positions 1021 to 1382 of the family's 1533-position model. Lineage: Bacteria; Pseudomonadati; Pseudomonadota; Gammaproteobacteria; Pseudomonadales; Pseudomonadaceae. The record is from RNAcentral.